Molecule: ribosomal RNA, 507 nt
Filed under: uncultured bacterium
Lineage: Bacteria
Description: bacterial SSU rRNA
Rfam family: Bacterial small subunit ribosomal RNA
Source: RNAcentral
AACGAACGCUGGCGGCGUGCCUAACACAUGCAAGUCGAGCGAGAAAGUCCCUUCGGGGGCGAGUAAAGCGGCGGACGGGUGAGUAAUACAUGGAUAAUCUUCCCUCGAGCCUGGGAUAACCCUGCGAAAGUGGGGCUAAUACCGGAUAAGACCACAUGACACAUGUCACGGGGUAGAAGGUGGCUUGUAUUUAUAUGAGCUAUCACUUGAGGAUGAGUCCAUGGCCUAUCAGCUAGUUGGUGAGGUAAGAGCUUACCAAGGCUAUGACGGGUAGCUGGUCUGAGAGGACGACUAGCCACACUGGGACUGAGACACGGCCCAGACUCCUACGGGAGGCAGCAGUGGGGAAUAUUGCGCAAUGGGGGAAACCCUGACGCAGCGACGCCGCGUGAGUGAUGAAGGCCUUCGGUUGUAAGACGUCUGUCAGAGGGAAAGAAAGGGGAAGUAGCGGAAGUAAUACCGACACGCCAUUGACGGUACCCUCGGACGGAAGGACACCGGCUAACG